AGCUUUGUGCUCUAGUAGUAUUGUAGCCAGUGGGGUUUAUCCAAGGCACAGUUAUUACUAGUUGAAAUAUAAAUAUCAUGCCUCCCUAGGAAUAAC
Molecule: small nuclear RNA, 96 nt
Organism: Cavia aperea (Brazilian guinea pig)
Lineage: Eukaryota; Metazoa; Chordata; Mammalia; Rodentia; Caviidae
Gene: U4
Rfam family: U4 spliceosomal RNA
About the family: U4 small nuclear RNA (U4 snRNA) is a component of the major U2-dependent spliceosome. The structure of U4 snRNA from yeast and human has been reported.
Source: Ensembl